RNAcentral lists this long non-coding RNA (577 nucleotides) under Mytilus galloprovincialis (Mediterranean mussel). The record is from RNAcentral. Lineage: Eukaryota; Metazoa; Mollusca; Bivalvia; Mytilida; Mytilidae.
AUAAUAAAGGCAACAGUAGUAUACCGCUGUUCAAAACUCAUAAAUCCAUGGACAAAAAACAAAAUCGGGGUAACAAACCAAAACCGAGCGAAACGCAUUAAAUAUAAGAGGAGAACAACGACACAACACCGAAACGCAACACACACAGAAACAGACCAAUCAUCAGACAAAACACCACGAGAAUAACAAAUGUAACAUGAAAACCAAAUACAUGAAUUUGGGAUAGACAAGUACCGUGCCACGUCUUAUCUCAAUAUAUCAAAAAUAAGAGAAAACACAAACGACUCAACGUUAAAAUGCAACACAAAGAGAAACGAACAAUAUUAUAACAAUGACCAUCUUCCUGACUUGGUACAGGACACUUUUAAAGGGGAAUAAAAGUGGUGGGUUGAACCUGGUUUUAAGGCAUGCCAAACCUCGCACUUUAAUGGCAAAGUUAAAUACAACACCGAAACGACAACACAACACCACAGGACCACAACACAAACAAACAGGAGAACAUAUUAGACACAGAAAAACAUGAUUAAUAGAUAACAAAAAGCAUCAGGUCCAAAAUUCAAUACGCCAAAAACGCGCC